This 103-nucleotide microRNA precursor is filed under the name Marmota monax (woodchuck). Lineage: Eukaryota; Metazoa; Chordata; Mammalia; Rodentia; Sciuridae. The record is from RNAcentral.
AGUGGGAUAACUGGUUCAAAUGGUCAUUACAUUCCAGAUUUUCUUAGGAAUCUCCAAACUGCUUUCCAGAGUAGUUGCAUCAUUUUGCAGUCCCACCAGCAAU